RNAcentral lists this small nuclear RNA (162 nucleotides) under Echinops telfairi (small Madagascar hedgehog). RNAcentral's name for it is "U1 spliceosomal RNA (ENSETEG00000022771.1)". It matches the Rfam family "U1 spliceosomal RNA". Rfam says of the family: U1 is a small nuclear RNA (snRNA) component of the spliceosome (involved in pre-mRNA splicing). Its 5' end forms complementary base pairs with the 5' splice junction, thus defining the 5' donor site of an intron. There are significant differences in sequence and secondary structure between metazoan and yeast U1 snRNAs, the latter being much longer (568 nucleotides as compared to 164 nucleotides in human). Lineage: Eukaryota; Metazoa; Chordata; Mammalia; Afrosoricida; Tenrecidae. The record is from RNAcentral.
GUACUUACCUGGCAGGGGAGAUACCAUGAUCACGAAGGGUUUUCCCAGGGCAAGUCUUAUCCAUUGCACUCCGGAUGUGCUGACCCCUGCGAUUUCCCCAAAUGUGGGAAACUCAACCGCAUAAUUUGUGGUAGUGGGGGACUGCAUUCGCGCUCUCCCCUG